GCUACAGUACUGUAUUUCAGCUAAUGCGGGCAAUUUAGAACAAAACAUUUUAUGAACUAGAGGCUAACAUGAGCUGGAGUGUCUCGCCAUGGCCAGUAUUUACCAUUAAGAUAACUUUUCAACUUUUUGGAACAAGAACGUGUCCAUAGUACACGGAUGCCCAACUCGCACCAUCAUUUUAUAUGUUCAGUGGGCCGUGAAAUAUGGGUCAAAACUCUAAUAAGGCAUUGAAAUUAGAAAGAUAAUAUCAUAAGGAACAUGUGUACUAAGUUUCAAGUUGAUUGGACUUCCACUUCAUCAAAAACUACCUUGACCAAACUUUUACAUAAAGUGGGACGGACGGAAAAACGAACGUACAGACCUAAGAACAUAUUACUUUUUUUUUAUAUUGGGCAUACGAUUGGUCUUUCUAUUGGAUUGCUUUAAUUUUUAAAUUUCAUAACACCAACCUUUAAAGUACUAUUUUGCAAAUUGUGUUUUAAAUUCACAUAACAUAGCGUUUCAAAAGCAUAAUAUUUUGAAAACAUUAAUGAAAUUUAAUAAAUGACAAAAACAACGUUGUACACUAUGAGAAAGUGUAGGGCGAGAAAGUGGCAAAAGUGGGUGGGGAGAACUUUGGAGGAAAAAGAUGAAUGUGGGUUUGAAACAGGGAGCACGUUGGUGGGGAAAAAGAGAAAGUGAGUUCGAGACCGGGAGAAAGUGAGUGUGAGACUAGGAGAUAGUGGGUAGGGGACACGGAGAUAUUUGGGUCAGAAGCAGUAGGGAAAAGGAGAAAAUGGGUAGGAGACGGGGAGAUAGUAAAGUGGGUGGUAGAAAGUGGAUGUCAGACAGGGAGAAUAUGGGUGGUAGAAAUUGGCAAGAGGAAAAAGGAGAAAGUAAAUGUGAGACAGGAAUAAAGUUUGGAGACAGAAAAGCGAGGUGGGAAAGGAUAAAGUGGGUGGUAGACAGUUGCUGGGGUAAAAGGAGAAAGUGGAUGGGAGACAGGGAGCAAUGGGUGAGAGACAGGAAUAAAGUUGUUUAGAGACAGAAAAGUUGGGUGGGAAAGGAGAAAGUGGGUGCUGUGGUAAAAAGAAAAGUGGAUGGAAUACAGGGAGAAAGCGGAUGGUAGACACUUGCUAGGGUAAAAAGAGAAAGUGGGUUGGAGACAGGGAGAAAGUGAGUGGUAGAAAGUGAGUGGUAGAAAGGGGCAAGAGGAAAAAGGAGAAAGUGGGGGAGACAGGGAGAAAGUGAGUGGUAGAAAGUGGCAAUAGGAAAAAGGAGAAAGUGGGGGAGACAGGGAGAAAGUGGUGGUAGAAAGAGGCAAGAGGAAAAAGGAGAAGUGGGAGAGACAGGGAGAAAGUGAGUGAUAGAAAGGGGUAAGAGGAAAAAGAAGAAAGUGGGGGAGACAGGGAGAAAGUGAGUGGUAGAAAGUGACAAGAGGAAAAAGGAGAAAGUGGGGGAGACGGGGAGAAAGUGGUGGUAGAAAGAGGCAAGAGGGAAAAGGAGAAGUGGGAGAGACAGGGAGAAAGUGAGUGGUAGAAAGGGGCAAGAGGAAAAAGGAAAAAGUGGGGGAGACAGGGAGAAUGUGAGUGGUAGAAAGUGGCAAGAGGAAAAAGGAGAAAGUGGGGGAGACAGGGAGAAAUAUGGUGCUAGAUAGUUGCUGGGGUAAAAGGAAAAAGUGGAUGGGAGACGGGGAGAAAGUGGAUGGUAGAAAGUGGCAAGAAGAAAAAGGAGAAAAUAGAUGGGAGACAGAGAGAAAGUGAGUGGUAUAAAAUAGGCAAGAGGAAAAAGGAGAAAGUGGGGGAGACAGGGAGAAAGUGAGUGGUAGAAAGUGACAAGAGGAAAAGGAGAAAGUGGAUGUGAGACUCUCACUGGGGGAAAUGGAGACCGGGUGAAAAUGGGUUGUAGACGGUGGCUGGGGAAAAGGAGAAAGUGAGUGGUAGACGGUGGCUGUGUGGAAUGAUAAAGUUGGUGGGAGGCAGGAUACAGUAGGUUGGGAAAAGGAAAAAGC
RNAcentral lists this long non-coding RNA (1990 nucleotides) under Mytilus galloprovincialis (Mediterranean mussel). The record is from RNAcentral. Lineage: Eukaryota; Metazoa; Mollusca; Bivalvia; Mytilida; Mytilidae.